GGCGCUGGGGAGGAGUGAAACCAGUUCUCGGGCCAGCCUACCCCGGGCGCUGGCGGAGGAGGGCUGGCCGAUACUCGAUACUCCGUCCGAGGGCCUCCACACGUGUGCACUGUGUCUGCAUUGCUAAUCAGGACCUCUGAGGAACCUAGACUAAUCCAGUCUGGUUCCCCAUUGAAGUCAUAGUCAAGAAGCACAGCUUGUGUUAGAUCACAGAUCCUGGAAACAUCCUUAGCAUAAGUUAUGGCAAAAGGAUUGCAGGAGGUCACGCGCGGAGACCAAGGACACCAAGGUGGUCCUCUCUCUUGAAACCUUUGUAACUAUUAAGGCUGGAGUGCCAUUUCAAGAAAAAGGAAGGCAAAGAAAUGAGCUAUAGGAAGCCAUGGGCUGCAUGGCACUCUGCUGUGUGGCAGUACCGAGUUAUUUUGAACAAACGCCCUGUUCGUGCUGAAUACUUGGGUUGUUUCUAAUCAUUUGCUCAUACAAACAACGUUCACAAGACCUGAUCCUGGGUGGAUGUCAUCUGUAUUUCUAUAAGGUAUCCUACAGCAUAGAUGCUUAGAAGUGCGGUGGCUGGUCAAAGGGCUGAGUUAUGUAUUCCAAAACCUGACACAUUCUCAAUAUAAUGAAUUAAACUGGCUGGUGGAGGUAAGAUGAAGAAUUUAGAAUCCUGACUGACAUCCUGGCUCCUGGCACCCUCCAGCUUCUGCAUCCAACGUGCUGGGUACCCCCCCUGACAUGGGGCUGACCUCCUGGCCUUGACUGAACGUCUCUGUGGCCACUCCCUGACCGCCAGCAGCCCACUAGCCGCCGCCUCACAAAUAUUGCCUAUGACAAGUAGGAUGCCACGGAAAGAAUUUGUAAAGACUUGCAUGAAGUACAGCCAGCCGACUCAGAACAAGAAUACCCACGAGAGCCAGCCAGAGUGCCUCAAGUCUGCGGAAGAGUGGCUCAGGCUAUUUUCAGUAAAUUUUGCUUUCAGUAAGUGUUGAUCUAGAAGGCUACAUCUUUUUCGUGUGUACUCAGAUCAUGAAAAAUGGCUUUGAGUAAACCAUUGGAGAAGCAUGAAGUGUCCACAACGUGCACAGACGACAACACGGAGCUCCUGCCUCCGUGCACCUGAGAGAAUGUUUCUGUUCCCUUCUGCUCCUCAACUUUUAGCUACCUUCACUGUGGAAGUUUCAUAGGCAGGCUGCCAGAAACCAGAUGAACACAUUUCUGAGAAAAUGAAAUAUAUAUACGUAUAUUCCAAAAUUUGUAAAUUUAAAACUAUUCAAAACAAAGACAUUAAAUCAGAUCCCAACAGAAGAAUACAACGCCAGGAUUGCAGGCCACCUGAUACUUAGCAUCUUGUUCUCAAAUGAAGAAAAACAAAAGAGAAGCCAAACCAAAGUAUCUGGAAAAUAUAUCUCAACUCAGCUAUGAUGAGCCUAGUUUUAGAUCAGUCGUGCUAAUUUUUUGUAGUACAAAGAAAUAGUGAAUAACUAUAUGUAAUAACUUUAAUAAUCUCAAGCACUUUAAAAGUGUAGGAAGAAAGAUUUGGCAACAGUCCAUCUUAAAAAAUAAUUGUACGUCUAUAGGGUGGCCACAAAGUCUUUCCUAGUUUAAAGUUACGUGGAUGUUUCUCUCCACAAAAAUCUUAUUUCCACCGUGUCGUUCCAGACGUCUUCCCCCACACUGAUAGCUGAAAAUCACUGAAGCAUCCAUGAUCGCGGGUGCUAACUCUUUGAGUCUUGUUACACGGAGUGGAGGACUUUUCUUUUAUAACGUCUAAAGGCAAGAUUCCCCAUGUGCUAAGUAGCGGCCCCGAAGGAGGUCACGCUGAGGAAUGUUCUCUAGCUCCAAGAGCAGAAUGUGGAUGCACUCACCGCCUGUUGCGGGAGGGAGGCCGUCUCACUUUCUCGUUUCUAUACCAACCACCACGAAGUGCGUUCAGAUGAACAGAGUGGCUGGCGCUUGCUUUGCAACAAUAUGGUUCGUUCUAUCAGGUGAGCUUCUGAAAUCGUGGCUCAUGUCCUGCCAUGAGAAGGACUCUGCUUGAUUUCCUUGGAAUAAUGGAUUGAUUACUAAGGAUACACUCUCAUGCAGAGGGACUUUGUGGCUGUUCAGGAAGCAUCAGAGGAGCUCUAAUGGAUCAGUCACGUUUGUACCAUCUUUGGGGGAAGAGGCCAUUACCCUGUUAUCACUCUGACUGGUUGCAAAGGUAAUUCAUUCGACUAAUGCUAAUUGGAGGACCGGGACCUACCUUGGGCCCUGGAUACACAGAACUGUGGGGUGCCCUCCUGGAGCACUCAGUCUAGGGGUGGAGACACGAACAUUCACAAACAUUUACGACAUACUAAGGGCUGAAGGAGUGAUGUCCACGAAUGGGUUUAUAGCUCAAGAGGUGUUUAUUCUACUAUGGGUGUGAAAACUGGGGCCAGGAAGGCUUACAAAGGGAGUGACAUUGAGCUGAAUUUUAAAAGACAGUAGCUUUUGGGGCGCCUGGGUGGCACAGCGGUUAAGCUUCUGCCUUCGG
This is a long non-coding RNA of Ailuropoda melanoleuca (giant panda), 2515 nucleotides long. RefSeq lists it as uncharacterized. Lineage: Eukaryota; Metazoa; Chordata; Mammalia; Carnivora; Ursidae. The record is from RefSeq and is a predicted model, not a curated record. The transcript is spliced from 5 exons.